GAACCCUUGGCGCAGCGGUAGCGCGUGUGAUUCCAGUUGGGAAAUCCACAAGGUCAUCCGUUCAAUCCGGGUAGGGUUCA
Molecule: transfer RNA, 80 nt
Filed under: Polyporus arcularius HHB13444
Lineage: Eukaryota; Fungi; Basidiomycota; Agaricomycetes; Polyporales; Polyporaceae
Description: tRNA-Trp
Rfam family: tRNA
About the family: Transfer RNA (tRNA) molecules are approximately 80 nucleotides in length. Their secondary structure includes four short double-helical elements and three loops (D, anti-codon, and T loops). Further hydrogen bonds mediate the characteristic L-shaped molecular structure. tRNAs have two regions of fundamental functional importance: the anti-codon, which is responsible for specific mRNA codon recognition, and the 3' end, to which the tRNAs corresponding amino acid is attached (by aminoacyl-tRNA synthetases). tRNAs cope with the degeneracy of the genetic code in two manners: having more than one tRNA (with a specific anti-codon) for a particular amino acid; and 'wobble' base-pairing, i.e. permitting non-standard base-pairing at the 3rd anti-codon position.
Source: RNAcentral